RNAcentral lists this ribosomal RNA (433 nucleotides) under uncultured bacterium. Its description in RNAcentral is "partial 16S ribosomal RNA". It matches the Rfam family "Bacterial small subunit ribosomal RNA", at positions 29 to 507 of the family's 1533-position model. The record is from RNAcentral.
AACGAACGCUGGCGGCAUGCCUAACACAUGCCAGUCGAACGAGACCUUCGGGUCUAGUGGCGCACGGGUGCGUAACGCGUGGGAACCUGCCCUUAGGUUCGGAAUAACUCCCCGAAAGGGGUGCUAAUACCGGAUAAUGUCUUCGGACCAAAGAUUUAUCGCCUUUGGAUGGGCCCGCGUUGGAUUAGCUAGUUGGUAGGGUAAAAGCCUACCAAGGCGACGAUCCAUAGCUGGUCUGAGAGGAUGAUCAGCCACACUGGAACUGAGACACGGCCCAGACUCCUACGAGAGGCAGCAGUGGGGAAUAUUGGACAAGGGGCGAAAGCCUGAUCCAGCAAUGCCGCGUGAGUGAUGAAGGCCUUAGGGUUGUAAAGCUCUUUUACCCGGGAUGAUAAUGACAGUACCGGGAGAAUAAGCUCCGGCUAACUCCGUG